RNAcentral lists this ribosomal RNA (450 nucleotides) under Prevotella sp. oral taxon 376. Its description in RNAcentral is "bacterial SSU rRNA". It matches the Rfam family "Bacterial small subunit ribosomal RNA", at positions 28 to 464 of the family's 1533-position model. The record is from RNAcentral. Lineage: Bacteria; Pseudomonadati; Bacteroidota; Bacteroidia; Bacteroidales; Prevotellaceae.
GAUGAACGCUAGCUACAGGCUUAACACAUGCAAGUCGAGGGGCAUCAUGUCGGUUGCUUGCAACCGAUGAUGGCGACCGGCGAAUGGGUGAGUAACGCGUAUCCAACCUGCCCCCGGCCGGGGUAUAACCCGUCGAAAGGCGGCCUAAUCCCCCAUGUAGUCCUCUGAGGUCCUCCGAUGAGGAUGAAAGGUAUUUUUCCGGCCGGUCGAUGGGGAUGCGUCCGAUUAGCUUGCUGGCGGGGUAACGGCCCACCAGGGCUUCGAUCGGUAGGGGUUCUGAGAGGAAGGUCCCCCACACUGGUACUGAGACACGGACCAGACUCCUACGGGAGGCAGCAGUGAGGAAUAUUGGUCAAUGGGCGGAAGCCUGAACCAGCCAAGUAGCGUGCAGGAUGACGGCCCUAUGGGUUGUAAACUGCUUUUGCGCGGGGAUAAAUUGGGGAACGUGUU